CAAAUUGGCUUCCCGAGGAAACAGACUCAAACGAAGGCGACUCAAUAGACACCGUGGAUGAAUAUAGUUCAAACGAAACAGAUGCAGAGGAAAGCAGAUCAACUUUGACAAAGAAGAGAAGAUUGUCUUAACUAUGGCGAGAGUAUGGGAUCCACUCGCACCGACCUAUUAUGUGUGUUGGCUUGUCAAACAUUCCUUUCGAAUCGGUCACAACUUGCUGAGGAAGUGAUUCUAGAAGAAGCGAACGUGGUAGUAUUAAUCUAAUUGUCUCAAAGAUCAAAAGGUCUAUAUAGGGAAGAUGACUUAAUGUCUCUGCUGUUGUUAUUCAGAUUGAAUUGGGUGGGUACAAAGUCUCGUGUCAUAACUGGUGGCUUCUUUGAACAGUAAUGUUUUGAGCUUGCAGCAGGCUGCUCACCGGUUUUUGUGCCAUUAACAAAAUUUAUAGAGGGAUGUCUACAACUAAAUUUUUUUGCCUCGAAGGACUCAUUCGAGGGCUUCAUUUAGAUGGAUAAAUCGUACGGUUCAUGGAAAUAGGGAUCGUAUUUAAUGUUGCGCGAAACAGGGAUCUGUCCUGGAGCGCAACAACAAGGCAUUAUAUUAAUAUUGUCCAAUAUGGAUCAGGUUUUUGCACGUUUGCCUCAA
This is a long non-coding RNA of Rhodamnia argentea, 642 nucleotides long. RefSeq lists it as uncharacterized. The record is from RefSeq and is a predicted model, not a curated record. The transcript has 2 exons. NCBI's taxonomy places the organism in Eukaryota, Viridiplantae, Streptophyta, Magnoliopsida, Myrtales, Myrtaceae.